Molecule: long non-coding RNA, 611 nt
Organism: Amphibalanus amphitrite
Lineage: Eukaryota; Metazoa; Arthropoda; Thecostraca; Balanomorpha; Balanidae
Exons: 2
Source: RefSeq, a predicted model, not a curated record
GUUUAUUUGUUCAGCCAUAGGCGACAGGCAUAGAACGUUCAUUUUCUAUUUGUAAACGAUUUUACCUGCGUUUUUGUUUUUGUUUUUGUUUUGGAAUACCUACUUCAUAGAUGAGCAUUUCAAUUUAGUGUUUGAUUGUGUCAGAAUAUGUGUGCUAAAAUGCAAUAUUUUGCUUCAUUAGAUUUGCUGUCCCCUGAAGUUUGUGAUUUAUCGCUGCUUAGGGCCAGCGGCCCAUCGGACAGCCUUGAGAAGACCGCCGCACGCUGUUUGCAGUCCGUCGACCACCUGUCUUCAACGGACGGACGCCCUCGGUCCCACUCAGCAAUUGACUGAAGCCUAUCGCGCCGAUAUGCUCGCUCAUCUUCCAUCCUCGCCCUGCCUGAUGGUUUCGACGACCCGGGCUGUGGUCCCUGAGGUUCGGAACCCGUCUCGCUGGCCUGCCAGCAGGAGGCCUGGCGCUCGUCGCAGACGAGCGCUGCAGUGUGGCCAGUGAACCUGAUGCUUCACUGGCCACACUGCUGGCACUGAUACUGCACAUCGCACAGCUCGUUAUAUAACAAUUUAACACAUGUGAGGCGUGAUUUAUUUGUAGAUAUUUGUAAACAGCCUUU